GACCCCGCGGCUAGUAGUGGGGGAACCGUGGCGAUACGGUGGGGGUAGAACGUAAAGGAAUUGGUGGGGAUGAAUGCAGAGAACGGAGCGAGUACGAGGACGGGGGCAUGUUGCUCUCAGAACGCGCAGAACGUCAGAGUGGGACGAAAAGGACGGGUGUCUCUCGCUUUCUCGCUCUCUGUAUCUCUUUCUCUCUUUCUUCGUUUCUUUCGAUCAUUUGUCUCUCUCGCUCACUCCUCGUGGAGAGGCAGAGAAAGAGAGGCCGAUGGCGGGGUGAGAGCCGGCUUACUACGCGGCGAAACGCUACCACGGCGUUCAGUCGUCAGCGAUCAGACCGCCGGGCAGUGUGAACCUUCCUGGGCAGUCUCUUCAUCUACUACACUCUUCCUCUGCUGUCCCUUCCUGAACAUGAAGCAGUAAUCAGCAUCUGGGAAAGCCGGAGUACAGCUUCCGUGAUCGGAUUUGCCUGAUCCGUUCUACGAUGGUCGUAGACUACCACGAUCUUGAAGAAACAUCACGCGUAAGGGAACCAUUGUAGAAGAAUUUACGCGAGAAAUCGCAUCCAGUGGUGAAAGAGAAGAUACACGAUUGGACACGGCAAACGAAUUGGAGAAGGUUCAAGGAGACAGACUUGGUCUCAGACGAUUCCAACUCUGUCUCUUUGAAUCUACCCUGAUACGAGAUUCGUCGCAACCGGUGACAAGCAAUCGAACAAUCGAAGUCUUCGAGAACGCUCGGCAGUCGUUCGAUAGCCGUACUCGAAGCUAACAGAUGUUCAAGAAGAUCUUACUAAAUAAACGGUUGUCGCGACUGAAAUCACCAGAGACGAUCAUUGUGGGAGCAUGUAAAAUCGCAAAGAAUUGCAGAAGACGUUGGAUAUCGAGAAGUCGCUUCGACAACGCUCGAAGAUGAUACGCAACACUCUGUUCCAAACCGCAAGAUUCUAAAUUCCAGCGGAAGUCAAUGUUCGCAAUGAAGUUUCGUUAUUCGAAAUUUCGACAUUCGGCGAGUGAACCAAAAGAAAAAAGAAACGAAUUAUCCCUUCGUAGUGAGAUUGUUGGGAAGACACGUAGGGCUCGUUCGAAUGGUUUGUGCUCGGCCUCGCGUCGAGCCACGUGGUGUUCCGAAUCGCGCGAACGAUCUGCGCUUGAUAAUCUUCGGCACGUAUACGUUCACUUUGCGAAACCGCGGCCCGAAAAAAAAAGGUGAAAACGAUGGCGAAUCGACGAGCACGACGAGCCGUCGCAAUUCCGAAGAUCGGUGAAGCCGUUCGAAAGUAGAAUUUCCUUCGUUGCUCGUCAGAUAUGUGGUGCCGUUCGAUUGUUACGUAACGAGCAUCGAAUAACGAAAAACCGUUCACGCAUUGGCGAGUCGUACGGCGAGAUUUUUGCACCGAACCGUUACUCCUAGUGCGGGAUAGUGUAAAUCUGUCGGAGAAGAUCGACCAUGCACCAAGGAAGAAACAUAUGAAAAUGUGUGAUUAAAUUUAAAACAAAGUAAACGGCAAAGAAAAAAUAAUUGAGAAAAAGUGGAAGGAAUAGCAACACGAUGAUUCUUAUCGUCAACGAAAGUAGUUGAAGAGUACGAAGAAAACGUUACGCUUUACGGACGUGUUAGCAGCCGACGGCUCUUUCGCCAACAGAUCGUCACAAAUCACCGUUGAAGAACAAGUGAGGUGUGCUACGCUCGGUUGGAAGUGUGCUUGUUGCUUAGUGGCGGUAUUUGGUAAGGAUCCCCUUCCGUCAAAUUGACGGGAAAAUCGGAAGUGUCGAUUUCGAUCGCAGUGCACGAAUUCACGGUGAUGGUAAUGAAUUUUUUUUGACAAUGUCUAUGGUCACAGUGAAGUGGUCCGUGAUUGAUAUUUUCGUUAAACGUUUCGUUCAAUUUGAAAUUUCAGUCGCACAUGUUUAAUAUGAUAUAUAUAUAUAAAUAAUCGAUAUAAUAUUUCAAGUCCUAAGAGUAAAGUAAAAAAAUCAUACGUUUGAUCGACGAAUAUUAAAGGAGUGCUUUCUAACGGCCGGAUUGCGUAAAAUUUGAAAAAAUACCUGGUAUCUACAAAACCGUGAGCGGUCUACGGUUAAAAAGUUUCCCCAUAAAUUCGUCACUGUCAGAGAAAUGAUAUACGCGGACUGAAAUCUCGUCGAAUUAUCUCGUUCCACUUAUCAGGGAAUACUUCCAAACAAACCACGGUCUGGCGGCCACGCCCCGCUCUAAAAAUCUCCCCUUUGAACAAACUACCAAAAAACAGGACGCACAGACACCCGGCUAUCUCGAAAAAAGUCCACUUAUCUCCAUUUACACUGCAUCAACGGAUUCUACAAAAAUCAUUGCUCCACCUCCCGCGGGCAAUAAAAGUAUCUACACUUCCGUUCCAACUACCCCCUAGACACCGUUCUCACCGUCAUCACACGGGAGGUCCCUAAUGACCAACCCAUACUUCUCUCUCUAAACUCUUCCACCAAACGCCCAACGUGUAACAAUAACAAGAAAGAACGAAAAGCAGACAUACAAGAACUAUAAAUCUAAUAUCUUUUCAUUUUCCAACAUACAUUGAAAUAUUUUCAGUUGUCUAUGUUUUUUACCUUUCGAGUAAUCUUCCAUUAUACAGGCUACUACGAUUUAAUGACUGCUGACUGCAUAGUCUUAAUUGAAGGGAGAAAAGGAAAUGCAAGAUAUAAAAAGACCUCGACUCUGUAUAUACCAAGAACAUGUAUAUUUUUGAAAUUAAAAGUCAACAGCAACAAAUCAAUUUCAGAGAUGUAAAACAUCGUAGAAUUUAUUUUCAGCAAAAGUAAAUGAAUCGGUGCGUUAGAAAUGAUCCGAAUAAAGAAAUUACCAUACCUAAUUGUGAGAGAGUUAAGAACCAGAUUAACUGUUCCCGGGUUAACAGGUUUAUUAUGUUUAUGAAAAUAUGAAUUUGCAUAAACAACCGUUCCUUAUCCUUCGAACGCACGAAUUAAUUAUCGAAGCAGGUAUUCUAUAUCUCGAAUCCAUUACCUCUUCUCGUGAUCCCCAGAAAUUCUCGUCCAUUCAGCCCCCCGGCGGUACCACUGGUACCAUUUAAAAAGAAGAAUGUCCUAUAAGAAUACUCUAAAAUGAACGAAAGACAGGCAACAGAGAGGAUACUAAAAAAUGAAACAAAAAAAAGGAAGUGUAAAGAAAAGGGAAGAUGUUUUCGCGCUUCGAGGGGUGGUUGGGAAGGGUCUGUUACGUCACCGAGAGGAGCGAGGCGCCGAAGAAUCCAGCAAGACGAUACGGCCCUGCCCUUCGCCGGGCAGAUAGGGUAUAAUCAUGGCGAGUUUCGUAUCUCGAAGGGGCACACGGGAAGAUGGUCCAACAUCUGCCGCUGCAGGGAAUCUCUGCCCACAUGCUGGCCGUCGUGCACGUACGUACGCACGCACACGCGCAAAAAGUGACAUAGCUACACGCUGGGACGUCAUGUAAAUUCAUUCGAAACACAUGGCAGGGCCGAGGCGGCGUUUUUCUCGUGCGCGCAAAAGGGUUCUUCCACGGUGGAAUCCGAGGAGCGCCGCACGGGGGGCUCCGGGUAAAAAAGGCAGACGAUAACUUCGACUUUUAGACAAGGACCACUCUCACUCUCUCUCUCUCUUUCUCUGUUUCCUUACCUUCUCUUUCGCCUUCUCGACCUCUGUCUCUGUUACGAGGGACCACCGGCUCGAAUGAGUCCACCGGUUAGCCGCUUCUUUUUUAUUUAAUCGCCUCGAUCAUCCAAUGCUCGGGGUGUCCGAUGCUUUGCAAUUUCGGCUUAGCGAAAAUUUAGAGGGUAAAGGCCUCUCUUGAGAUAUGAUUCACCUUGGAGGGUGGUGGCUAUUGGAUUUUGUAUUAUUUAUGAGAAACCUGGUAUUGUUCUAAAAAUAUGGCGAGAAACUGUGGAAACUAUUUUUACGAAUUCUGUAGGCAAGUAAUAAAUCAAGGAUAUGUUGAAUUAAAUAGGUCAAAGUUCGAAUCUGAUUUAUAGGAUUGUUUAUAGCGAGCAUGAAAAUACAGCAUUUAAUAGAUGUAACUAAAAUCAAUCGCGCGAAUGCUGUUGAAGGUGUAUUUACGCGAGAGGUAUUUUUGGAACGAUUUCAAACAGAGUACAAAUCAUAAAUAGAUAUGGGAGACGUAUUAAUCGGAAUUAGCGACGAACGUUUUCCCUUUCUGAUUAGAUUUUUAAUGAACAUCGGACGAUCUUCCCUAAUUAACUUACCAUUGAAACUAAGCACACGAUACAAUCAUUAAACCGAACAGUAUGCAAUUACAUGUACAAGUAUUAAGACAAUUAGCUUCAACGAAUUAUACAUCUCGAUAUCAAACUCAUCAUGGAAUAAAAAAUUUCUUAAAAAAUCCACUAGAAAUAAUAAUAAAAUCCAGCAGAAAUCGUAACAGGAUCUAACGAAAGAUCUAAUUGGUCUAUCCAGUGAUUUUCUUUUAACGAGUCUUCGAUCUGAUUGUUCCGCGACGUUAAAAGAAGAAAUAAGAGAAACCUAAUAAAAAAAGACCUAAUAAAAAAUAGAAUCACCGAUGUAAAACGCAGAGAAAGGAGCAAGUAAACCAACAAGGAAUAAAAAUACACUGGCUCGAAAUAACAGGGCAUUCGGGUAACGAGUGUUCCUUCGUCUAACGAGGGUUCCGUGGAAAUCGUUAACGGGGUAAUUCUCGCGUUCCGCGGCUAAUUACACGCCGAAACCAUGAAAAUUCCACCGCUCUUGAUUCAUUAUGCUGCCACGAAGACAAUAAUGGAUCGCCUUUUGUUUUCGAUUCGUCAAGUUCAAAACCGGGGGAAUUUCGAUGCGGCUACGAGAUAGGCUGGCUCGUUGAAACGUUAACCGCCGCGCCGGAAAACCGCGGCAAGCGAAAAAAAAAAAAAAGAAGAGAACCAGAGGUUAGAUAGACAGAACACAGGAGAACGAUGGAAAAGAAGGAAAGGGAUACACGAACAACGUGUACAGGGAGAGGGACUGUGUGAUGAAGGGGGAGAGGAGAGGGAAAGAGAGAGAGAAAGAGAGAAAAAAGAAGAGAGACAGGGAAAAUAGGAGUAAGCUCGCCGCGCGCGGAAUUGCAGAACUGCCUUUAAUUAAAGCCAUCAAGCUAGUUGAACAAUUAUCAUUAAUUAUGGACGUUGCUUGGCCGCUCACACGAGCCGUCCUCGUCGUCGUGGCUACCUAGAGAGAACGGUUUCACUUCGUUCGCGUGCACGGCGUCAAUUUGAAAAGAGGUGGUUGUAAGAGGAAAGAGGGAACGAGAAAGGGAAAAAGAAGAAGAGAGAUAAAAAAUGAAUACACGGGAGAUGGGGAAGGAAAGGGAAAGAAGUACACACGGCCCUGCCCUCAUGAUGUAUUUUCAUCGACGCUCUACUUUGUAGCGUCUUCCUCUUCUUCUUUUUCUUCUUCCCCGCUCUCUCCCCGCUUUUUCCUUUACCUGUUAGUCUCAGUAACUGAUUUAAGAGGCACAGUCCAAUUUGAGAUAGCUAGCAAGACGAUUUUUACCGCUAAUUAAAGGUGCGUUAAUUAAAAAAGUACAGCCCCUGGUUUCAUGCUCGAAUCGGCCUUUGAUCGCUUAUAAAUCGUUGGAUCAUUAGCCAGCUCGGUUGCUCGCGGACGAAGAAAACCCUUUUGCGGUUCGUGCGCGACGAUCAAACGCGGGAAGAAUAGACGAUUCUUCUUUGAUUCCCUCUUUAAGCGGUGUGAAACAAUAGUACGUAGGGAGAAUGGGGAAGAACGAGAAGAAGGGGAGAAUAAUAUUCCGUCAGAAUGCAUGGUCUUGAGAAAUACAACGAUUGUUCAGAGGCGUUUAAAAUUCUUUGAGAUUAGGGUUGAGAAAUCGUCGGCGGUAGAUUCUUUCCUCGAGCAACGAGAAGCAAGCGUAAAAAAAAAAAAAAAAUAGUGUCAUAAUAAAAAUGACGAUUUACGUUCUAUGUCAUUGUUAUAAAAUUGGGGUCAAUGAUUUCAAUGAUCUACGCACUUCGGACACGUUUUCUCGCAUCUUAACGACGUGAAAUAUCACUGAGGAAUGUUAAUCUGAUGUUUUCAAAGCUAUACAUAUAUUUCGAGUUUGUCUUGCCACAAUCGAAAUAAAGAAUGGAGUGGAUUCUAUUCGAUAGGAGUUAUUAUAGCAUCUGGUUAUUGUUAUAUUUUAUAAGAUUCUGACUGAGCGAAACUUCUCUAUUAUUUGAAAGCAAUUUUAUUCGUUGGACUAAAAUGUGAAAAAUCUUCUUGGAUUUUCGAAUCUUUAUGUGUUAAGUUGGUUACUUUGGUUAGUUCGACAUCAUUCUAAAGUUAAUAUACAAUAUUAGUUUUCAUGGUAUCAUAUUUAUCUUCAUAGUUAGUCGUGUUAUUUUUAUAGCUAAAUAAAAACAGAAAUAGAAUAUAGAUAUCCUAUUUUGUAACAGCAUAGCGCAAUUUUUCUUCUAUUUCUAGCUCUAAACCGUAAAGAUAAACUUGUCCUAAUCCAUUAAGCGAUAAUCACAGUCAUAAGAAAGCUGGAACAACACGCUAGACAAAGUUUUCUCCUUCGAUAGUAUCUCACUGUUUAUCAUCGUUCUCUGUGUCUGCAAUAAAUAGAUUUAGACAUACACCAUUAUGUUCAUGUAUAGUCUUUAACCUUUACUCGAUGCUAGAGUAAAGUAUCAAUUUACUUUUCCUUCAAACGUCACCCACGGAAUAUAAAAUGAAGUAUCUACAUUUACCCAUUAUGCCAACUAGUCUUCAACGAUCGUUAACUUGGCUUAAGAACACCUUACUCUUGAAAAUAAAUCUUCCCUCGUCCGACUAUGGCUAUUUUACUUCUCUUUUUUAUAUUUGAAUGCGUUAAUUGAGAGAUUUAAAAAAGAAAUGGUAUAAGCAAACAAUUUUUUUGACAGUUAACUUAAUUCCAAGUAAACUACGAGCAAAGAUAAACUUUAAUGGAAAGAUUUGUAUACUUCUCAUUACUUCAUUCACGAAAUUGCGAUUAACAAUAUAAAUUAUGCUGCUACAGGAGAAAAAUUGAGAAAAUAAAUUGCCAAUGAAAACAUUAAAAGAAAGCGAAGAUACUUGAAUUGAAUCUAACUUCGAAUUUAAUUCGGUUUCUUUAGAAUUCAGAAAUCCAAGGGAAAGACGCAUAGGCGAUAAAAUUUGUAAUUUAAGAUAAACUCUCUAGAUACCUAAACAACGAUAUUAGAAUAAUCUAAAAAUAAAAAAUCUACAUGUUUCGAACACUACCGUACGCACUUCUAAAUCUUUAAAAACUCAGAACAAAAUCCUCUAAAUAAGCAUAGAUACGAAAAGAUAUAGGUGUACCAUUUUUUCUUGGUAGAAUUUUUUAUUAAUAGUAUAUUUCUCCAAUAACCAGAGAUUAAAACUACAGAUACUUUCGUUUCCUAAACACACCCAGAGAGUAGCCACGAUUUCUAAAAAGAAAGAUAAGAGACGAAACGGGACGAAAAACAAGCUUCCCUAACAGAGAGAAGUCUCUAAAAAACAGGCUCGGUGGCUGACCACGGCUAAUCUUCUCGCGCCCCAUAAUUAAUUACGCGUUAUCUGGAACAGGUCCCGAUUACGGCGUGUGUCUUAACGGGACAAUGGUGAACGGGGUCCCCGAUAAUGGGCCAGAUAGCGUGUCCUUAUUAGGAAAAAUUUAAGGUUCGAGCAGCGUGUUUACGAGCUGGCCCGGCGUUCGGCCCGCGCCAACGACAGAAACCGAGCCAUAUUUCUCCAUGAAAUUUAACGAACCUCUGGCGCAAUGGGACACCAUUAAAAAAUUCCUCAGCGUCAUAUGCCAUCGUGCACGCAACGCCGAUAAACGCCGCUGGGCGAACGCAGGCCGACUACAGAG
Molecule: long non-coding RNA, 7815 nt
Organism: Bombus impatiens (common eastern bumble bee)
Lineage: Eukaryota; Metazoa; Arthropoda; Insecta; Hymenoptera; Apidae
Exons: 2
Source: RefSeq, a predicted model, not a curated record